AUUCUUACCUGGCAGGGGAGAUACCAUGAUCAGGAAGGUGGUUCRCCCAGGGCGAGGCUCGGCCAUUGCACUCCGGUUGUGCUGACCCCUGCGWAUUCCCCAAAUGUGGGAAUCUCGACUGCA
RNAcentral lists this small nuclear RNA (123 nucleotides) under Hypophthalmichthys molitrix (silver carp). Its description in RNAcentral is "partial U1 spliceosomal". Lineage: Eukaryota; Metazoa; Chordata; Actinopteri; Cypriniformes; Xenocyprididae. The record is from RNAcentral.